Molecule: ribosomal RNA, 253 nt
Filed under: uncultured bacterium
Lineage: Bacteria
Description: partial 16S ribosomal RNA
Rfam family: Bacterial small subunit ribosomal RNA
Source: RNAcentral
UACGUAGGGCGCAAGCGUUGUCCGGAAUUAUUGGGCGUAAAGAGCUCGUAGGCGGUUUGUCGCGUCUGCUGUGAAAACCUAAGGCUCAACCUUGGGCUUGCAGUGGGUACGGGCAGACUAGAGUGCGGUAGGGGUGACUGGAAUUCCUGGUGUAGCGGUGAAAUGCGCAGAUAUCAGGAGGAACACCGGUGGCGAAGGCGGGUCUCUGGGCCGACACUGACGCUGAGGAGCGAAAGCGUGGGGAGCGAACAGG